Molecule: ribosomal RNA, 432 nt
Filed under: uncultured bacterium
Lineage: Bacteria
Description: partial 16S ribosomal RNA
Rfam family: Bacterial small subunit ribosomal RNA
Source: RNAcentral
AACGAACGCUGGCGGCAUGCCUAACACAUGCAAGUCGAACGAGACCUUCGGGUCUAGUGGCGCACGGGUGCGUAACGCGUGGGAACCUGCCCUUAGGUUCGGAAUAACUCCCCGAAAGGGGUGCUAAUACCGGAUAAUGUCUUCGGACCAAAGAUUUAUCGCCUUUGGAUGGGCCCGCGUUGGAUUAGCUAGUUGGUAGGGUAAAAGCCUACCAAGGCGACGAUCCAUAGCUGGUCUGAGAGGAUGAUCAGCCACACUGGGACUGAGACACGGCCCAGACUCCUACGGGAGGCAGCAGUGGGAAUAUUGGACAAUGGGCGAGAGCCUGAUCCAGCAAUGCCGCGUGAGUGAUGAAGGCCUUAGGGUUGUAAAGCUCUUUUACCCGGGAUGAUAAUGACAGUACCGGGAGAAUAAGCUCCGGCUAACUCCGUG